GAACAUUGUUAGCUAGAAGAAGUUGACAACGAAGCAAACAGAGAUAACAUUUAAUCAGGAAGACAGUCAGACUGGUCGGAAAACUAGGAAGGGGGAGGGGAUGGAGAGAGAGGGAAAGCAAGGGUUACUUGAAGUUAGAGAAAUCAAUAUUCAUAUAACUGGGAUGUAGGCUGCCCAAGCAAUCUAUGAGGUGUUG
Long non-coding RNA from Amblyraja radiata (thorny skate), 196 nucleotides. RefSeq lists it as uncharacterized. NCBI's taxonomy places the organism in Eukaryota, Metazoa, Chordata, Chondrichthyes, Rajiformes, Rajidae. The record is from RefSeq and is a predicted model, not a curated record. The transcript has 3 exons.